GUGAGGAAUAUUGGUCAAUGGGCGGAAGCCUGAACCAGCCAAGUAGCGUGCAGGAUGACGGCCCUAUGGGUUGUAAACUGCUUUUAUACGGGGAUAAAGUCAGCCACGUGUGGUUGAUUGCAGGUACCGUAUGAAUAAGGACCGGCUAAUUCCGUGCCAGCAGCCGCGGUAAUACGGAAGGUCCGGGCGUUAUCCGGAUUUAUUGGGUUUAAAGGGAGCGCAGGCCGGAAGCAAAGCGUGCCGUGAAAUGUAGAUGCUCAACAUCUGAAUUGCGGCGCGAACUGGUUUUCUUGAGUGCAUACGAGGUAGGCGGAAUUUGUGGUGUAGCGGUGAAAUGCUUAGAUAUCACGAAGAACUCCGAUUGCGAAGGCAGCCUACCAGGAUGUAACUGACGCUAAAGCUCGAAAGUGCGGGUAUCGAACAGGAUUAGAAACCCGUGUAGUCC
Molecule: ribosomal RNA, 445 nt
Filed under: uncultured bacterium
Lineage: Bacteria
Description: partial 16S ribosomal RNA
Rfam family: Bacterial small subunit ribosomal RNA
Source: RNAcentral